GUAGUCAUAUGCUUGUCUCAAAGAUUAAGCCAUGCAUGUCUAAGUGUAAACAAUUACAUAGUGAAACUGCGAAUGGCUUAUUAUAUAAGUUAUCGUUUAUUUGAUAGUUCCUUACUACUUGGAUAACCGUGGUAAUUCUAGAGCUAAUACAUGCUAAAAACCCCGACUUUGGAAGGAGUGUAUUUAUUAGAUUAAAAACCAAUGCCCUUCGGGGCUCACUGGUGAUUCAUAAUAACUUCUCGAAUCGCAUGGCCUUGCGCCGGCGAUGGUUCAUUCAAAUUUCUUCCCUAUCAACUUUCGAUGCUAGAGUAGUGUUCUAGCAUGGUUACAACGGGUAACGGAGGGUUAGGGCUCGACCCCGGAGAAGGAGCCUGAGAAACGGCUACUACAUCCAAGGAAGGCAGCAGGCGCGCAAAUUACCCAAUCCCGACACGGGGAGGUAGUGACGAUAAAUACUGAUACAGGGCUCUUUUGGGUCUUGUAAUUGGAAUGAGUACAAUUUAAAUCCCUUAACGAGGAACAAUUGGAGGGCAAGUCUGGUGCCAGCAGCCGCGGUAAUUCCAGCUCCAAUAGCAUAUAUUAAAGUUGUUGUGGUUAAAAAGCUCGUAGUAGAACCUUGGGCCUGGCUGGCCGGUCCGCCUCACCGCGUGCACUGGUCCGGCCGGGCCUUUCCCUCUGUGGAACCGCAUGCCCUUCACUGGGUGUGCCGGGGAAACAGGACUUUUACUUUGAAAAAAUUAGAGUGCUCCAGGCAGGCCUUUGCUCGAAUACAUUAGCAUGGAAUAAUAGAAUAGGACGUGUGGUUCUAUUUUGUUGGUUUCUAGGACCGCCGUAAUGAUUAAUAGGGACAGUCGGGGGCAUCAGUAUUCAAUUGUCAGAGGUGAAAUUCCUGGAUUUAUUGAAGACUAACUACUGCGAAAGCAUUUGCCAAGGAUGUUUUCAUUUAUCAGGAACGAAAGUUAGGGGAUCGAAGACGAUCAGAUACCGUCGUAGUCUUAACCAUAAACUAUGCCGACUAGGGAUCGGACGAUGUUAUUUUUUGACUCGUUCGGCACCUUACGAGAAAUCAAAGUGCUUGGGCUCCAGGGGGAGUAUGGUCGCAAGGCUGAAACUUAAAGAAAUUGACGGAAGGGCACCACCAGGGGUGGAGCCUGCGGCUUAAUUUGACUCAACACGGGGAAACUCACCAGGUCCAGACACAAUGAGGAUUGACAGAUUGAGAGCUCUUUCUUGAUUUUGUGGGUGGUGGUGCAUGGCCGUUCUUAGUUGGUGGAGUGAUUUGUCUGCUUAAUUGCGAUAACGAACGAGACCUUAACCUGCUAAAUAGCCCGUAUUGCUUUGGCAGUACGCCGGCUUCUUAGAGGGACUCUCGGCUCAAGCCGAUGGAAGUUUGAGGCAAUAACAGGUCUGUGAUGC
Molecule: ribosomal RNA, 1416 nt
Filed under: Colletotrichum gloeosporioides
Lineage: Eukaryota; Fungi; Ascomycota; Sordariomycetes; Glomerellales; Glomerellaceae
Description: SSU rRNA
Rfam family: Eukaryotic small subunit ribosomal RNA
Source: RNAcentral